GAGCCUCUGGGGUGCAGGAAGCACCAAGGCAGAGGAGGGUGAGGGCAGUGUGGGGGCUCAUCCACCCUUCCCCGGGUUUUCUCCCCACAGGGCGCAUGGAGCGGGGCUCUCCUGCUGAGACGUGGCGGGUGCCGCGGCCCCCCAGGCAGCACAGCCAGAGCGGCAGCCGAGGCCCUACCCUGCCGGAGUGCUCCGAGGCCGCCUGCGGCCCCCACACCAUCCUGGAGAGCAAGGUGAAGGCGCUGAAGGAGAAGCGAGGGGGCAGCCGGCCGGGGACCCCCACGGCCACCCCUGAACGCCCCUCACCCAAAAAACACCGGCCCCGGCGGGGGAAGGCGGGGGUGGAUGUGGCAGCGGUGGAGCCACGUGCUCAGCUCCGCACCUACCUGACGGACGGGCUGUUGGAUGGUGGGGAGUCUGUGGCCAGCGGCCCCCCAACCCCGGCACCCCUCGCCAGCACCCCAGGGCUCUGGCGGGUGCCGACACCCAGGAGAGAUGUGCCAGGAGGAACCAAGCUCCCCCCAGAUGAGGGCAGCUGGUCCUGGGGCUCUGCCUCCCCCCACGAGAGACCUCCCCUGGAAGAAGAGGCACGAAUCCCACCACGGGACCAGAGGGGUCCCUCUGCAUCCCCCACCGUGGCAGAGGCCUGGGAGAGGCUCUCGCUGGCUGAGCAGGUGGAGAGGAACCGGCAGCUACUGCAGGAGGUGCUGGGCCUCACUGCGCCCGAGGUGCCAGUGAGCGACGGGGACUGGGACUCGGGGGUCUCGCUGCAGGACACCGAGAGCUGCAGGUAGGUCAGUCCCAGUGUGGCAGAGAUGGAUAUUUCCCUCUUUUCCUUCUCUCAGUCUUGUAUAUUAAAUGCAUCCCGCGAAGCAGCACUGGGGCUCACCAGAGCUCUGUGGAAGGGCUGUGGGGGCAGCCCCCAGCGUGGAAGCUGGUGGAUGGAGUGUGGAUGGGCUCUGGUGAUGCUUCAGUGUGAGCAGGGCAGGAGGGUCAGGCCAAGCCAGGUGCAUGUGGUGUUUGGG
RNAcentral lists this long non-coding RNA (1025 nucleotides) under Athene cunicularia (burrowing owl). RNAcentral's name for it is "lncRNA (ENSACUG00000003087.1)". The record is from RNAcentral. Lineage: Eukaryota; Metazoa; Chordata; Aves; Strigiformes; Strigidae.